This 305-nucleotide long non-coding RNA is filed under the name Capra hircus (goat). Its description in RNAcentral is "lncRNA (ENSCHIG00010009940.1)". The record is from RNAcentral. Lineage: Eukaryota; Metazoa; Chordata; Mammalia; Artiodactyla; Bovidae.
CCUCUGGCACGUGUACAGACUGAGCUCAUCUUGAAGCCGGAGACCCAAAGUCUUGACCCAUCUUGAGACAGUGGUGGUACCCACAGGUGCCACUGGACACACGAGGCUAUGCCAGUGCUGGCAGAGAGGGAUGAAAGAGUUCCUGGUGGGACUGGGCAGAGGGCCUGCCCAUUGGGUUUUUGCCCUGAAGCCCUGGCACAAUCAGUGAGAAUCGCUCAACUACACCCAACUCUUUGCAACCCCAAGGACUAUAUGCUCCAUGGAAUUCUCCAGGCCAGAAUACUGGAGUGGGUAACCUUUCCCUU